Non-coding RNA from Nematostella vectensis (starlet sea anemone), 72 nucleotides. Lineage: Eukaryota; Metazoa; Cnidaria; Anthozoa; Actiniaria; Edwardsiidae. The record is from Rfam.
UACUCCGUGUCGCAAUGGUAGCGCCUCUGACUCCAGAUCAGAAGGUUGCGUGUUCAAAUCACGUCGGGGUCA